This 253-nucleotide ribosomal RNA is filed under the name uncultured bacterium. RNAcentral describes it as "partial 16S ribosomal RNA". It matches the Rfam family "Bacterial small subunit ribosomal RNA", at positions 524 to 776 of the family's 1533-position model. The record is from RNAcentral.
UACGAAGGGGACUAGCGUUGCUCGGAAUCACUGGGCGUAAAGCGCACGUAGGCGGCUUUCUAAGUCAGGGGUGAAAUCCUGGAGCUCAACUCCAGAACUGCCUUUGAUACUGGAGAGCUAGAGUCCGGAAGAGGUGAGUGGAACUGCGAGUGUAGAGGUGAAAUUCGUAGAUAUUCGCAAGAACACCAGUGGCGAAGGCGGCUCACUGGUCCGGUACUGACGCUGAGGUGCGAAAGCGUGGGGAGCAAACAGG